This 515-nucleotide ribosomal RNA is filed under the name uncultured bacterium. RNAcentral describes it as "partial 16S ribosomal RNA". It matches the Rfam family "Bacterial small subunit ribosomal RNA", at positions 28 to 523 of the family's 1533-position model. The record is from RNAcentral.
GAUGAACGCUGGCGGCGUGCCUAAUACAUGCAAGUCGAGCGAAUGGAUUAAGAGCUUGCUCUUAUGAAGUUAGCGGCGGACGGGUGAGUAACACGUGGGUAACCUGCCCAUAAGACUAGGAUAACUCCGGGAAACCGGGGCUAAUACCGGAUAACAUUUUGAACCGCAUGGUUCGAAAUUGAAAGGCGGCUUCGGCUGUCACUUAUGGAUGGACCCGCGUCGCAUUAGCUAGUUGGUGAGGUAACGGCUCACCAAGGCAACGAUGCGUAGCCGACCUGAGAGGGUGAUCGGCCACACUGGGACUGAGACACGGCCCAGACUCCUACGGGAGGUAGCAGUAGGGAAUCUUCUGCAAUGGACGAAAGUCUGACGGAGCAACGCCGCGUGAGUGAUGAAGGCUUUCGGGUCGUAAAACUCUGUUGUUAGGGAAGAACAAGUGCUAGUUGAAUAAGCUGGCACCUUGACGGUACCUGACCAGAAAGCCACGGCUAACUACGUGCCAGCAGCCGCCGUAA